Molecule: ribosomal RNA, 505 nt
Filed under: uncultured bacterium
Lineage: Bacteria
Description: partial 16S ribosomal RNA
Rfam family: Bacterial small subunit ribosomal RNA
Source: RNAcentral
GACGAACGCUGGCGGCGUGCCUAAUACAUGCAAGUAGAACGCACAGUUUAUACCGUAGCUUGCUACACCAUAGACUGUGAGUUGCGAACGGGUGAGUAACGCGUAGGUAACCUGCCUGGUAGCGGGGGAUAACUAUUGGAAACGAUAGCUAAUACCGCAUAAUAUUGAUUAUUGCAUGAUAAUUAAUUGAAAGGUGCAAUUGCACCACUACCAGAUGGACCUGCGUUGUAUUAGCUAGUAGGUGAGGUAACGGCUCACCUAGGCGACGAUACAUAGCCGACCCGAGAGGGUGAUCGGCCCAACUGGGAAUGAGACACGGCCCAGACUCCUACGGGGGGCAGCAGUAGGGAAUCUUCGGCAAUGGACGAAAGUCUGACCGAGCAACGCCGCGUGAGUGAAGAAGGUUUUCGGAUCGUAAAGCUCUGUUGUAAGAGAAGAACGGGUGUGAGAGUGGAAAGUUCACACUGUGACGGUAUCUGACCAGAAAGGGACGGCUAACUACGUG